AAAACACUAAUCAAUUGGCAAAGCUGGUAAACAUAAUUGAUAAAAUGGGUGAUAAAAUGAUGCUCCCAUCAAAGUAAAAGCCCUGACUCCAAGCUUAGAUACUACAGGGAAGGUUCUCAGCAUUGAGAAAACCAGAUGAGAUUCUCCUGCAGGUUUCUCACUGACAACAGAACUGGGUAUUGACUGCCAUGAAAAGAAUAUGCUGAAGUUCUCUGUAUCCCAGGAGAAGUGACUGUGAAGGAGAGUUCCCAGCUCAGCAUGACACACAUUGUAAUAAGUUGGCAUUUAUAUCAAGGUCUGCCACUCCCUUUACUGAGGAAUUUUGGCUCUGCUCACCUCUGUCCAGGGUGUAUGCUUUGAGCUGGAGAUAUAGCCAACAAACAAUCUACUCCAACCAGUCCUCAGACCAAAUUUUCAUCUUAUAGCACAGAUAUAAUGGGACCGUUUGGUUUUGGGUUUUUUCCUAGGCUGAUCUGCUCAAAAUCUUUUAGCAGUCCCAGAAGGAUACAGCAAGUCUUGGCUGAAAGCACAUCCUGACUUCAGCCUCAGGGAAAGCACAUUGUCAUUGCUCUGCAAAAUUCCCCAGCCUGUAUUAAAGGGACAAAGUCACA
Molecule: long non-coding RNA, 611 nt
Filed under: Cyanistes caeruleus (blue tit)
Lineage: Eukaryota; Metazoa; Chordata; Aves; Passeriformes; Paridae
Description: lncRNA (ENSCCEG00000014959.1)
Source: RNAcentral